Molecule: long non-coding RNA, 1113 nt
Filed under: Oryctolagus cuniculus (rabbit)
Lineage: Eukaryota; Metazoa; Chordata; Mammalia; Lagomorpha; Leporidae
Description: lncRNA (ENSOCUG00000032990.1)
Source: RNAcentral
AGGCAGAACAAGCGACCGAAAGGCGCCUGCUUGGCACGAAGGCCCUGGACGGCUCCCCACUUACCCCCUGCCACCCAUCUCUACUGGCCCCGGCCUGCGCUAAUGAAAUGCAGGCGGUAAUACAAUCCCCAGGCUCUGAAUUCCUGGAGGAUCCUGGCCAGGGGCUACCGGGAGCUGGCAGGAGGCCGGGAGGCGGGAGAGGGCUCUGAUAAAGAUCAAGUGCCCGCCUCACCCGGGGCUGCCUCCUUAAGCCUGGCCUGUCAGCCGGGCCCCAGCACACGCUUGCAGAUCUGGUCCCGCCCCGCCCCCACUGCUUGUCUGGCUUCCUGGGGAGAAAGUGUUCAAGCACAGAGAGCCUCAGGAAUGGGAGUCUAAUCAGACCCAUGUGUGGAGGAAACCUCAUGUCCUCUGCCCUUGUUCUCGCUACUUCCAUUCCCACCCAGAGGAGCCGGGAGCUGCCUGGGGGCGGGGGGUGGGGUGGGGAACCUGGUGAUCAGGGUCCCUCCCACCUCCUGAGCCAGAGCCCCCUCCUCUCUGCUCCCCUGCUGGGGAGCCCAGUCCUAGACAAGGCUUUUGAUCCUUUUUCACUCCCCAGGACCAACCAAAGCUGAAGCAGCCACUGAAAUUCAAGAUGGUUGGGACAGAGUGAGGACAAAACACGCAGCGAAAACAAGAGGCAGGAACCAAAUUCCUGGCAAAGCAUGAACAAUUAUGGCAAUAACCUGCCCGGAGGGAGUCCUGCAGUCUGUGCUUUUCGAAUGCUUCUCGUCUGGGCCGAGCUCAGGACAGGAGCUUCCACACCCCCACCGCCCCUGCUCAUUAGCCAGUGGUUCUGUGCUAGAAAGCCGCUGCCAGUCCUGGACCUUCGCUCCUUUUGGAAACACAGGCAUCUCUUCCCCUCCAAAGAAACGCACUCAAGCCCGUUGAUUGAGUAAGAGGAUUCAAGGUUUCUCAUCAGCCUCCUGCUCCCAGGUCUCCUUGGGUGCUGGAUUCUGGCAAAGUCUAGUGGAAAAGCCUGCCUGGUGAUCUUGGCUCUGCCCUGGGAAGGCCAUCCCUUCGUCGAACCCCACUUCCCUCACCUGUGAAAUAAAGACACUGGUAUCUGCCCUGCCA